RNAcentral lists this ribosomal RNA (253 nucleotides) under uncultured bacterium. RNAcentral describes it as "partial 16S ribosomal RNA". It matches the Rfam family "Archaeal small subunit ribosomal RNA", at positions 474 to 727 of the family's 1478-position model. The record is from RNAcentral.
UACCAGCACCCCGAGUGGUCUGGACGAUUAUUGGGCCUAAAGCAUCCGUAGCCGGUUUUACAAGUCCUCCGUUAAAUCCAACUGCUUAACAGGUGGGCCGCGGAGGAUACUAUAAGACUAGGAGGCAGGAGAGGCAAGCGGUACUCAGUGGGUAGGGGUAAAAUCCGUUGAUCCAUUGAAGACCACCAGUGGCGAAGGCGGCUUGCCAGAAUGCGCUCGACGGUGAGGGAUGAAAGCUGGGGGAGCAAGCCGG